RNAcentral lists this ribosomal RNA (504 nucleotides) under uncultured bacterium. RNAcentral describes it as "partial 16S ribosomal RNA". It matches the Rfam family "Bacterial small subunit ribosomal RNA", at positions 30 to 523 of the family's 1533-position model. The record is from RNAcentral.
AUUGAACGCUGGCGGCAGGCCUAACACAUGCAAGUCGAACGGUAGCACAGAGAGCUUGCUCUCGGGUGACGAGUGGCGGACGGGUGAGUAACGUCUGGGAAACUGCCCGAUGGAGGGGGAUAACUACUGGAAACGGUAGCUAAUACCGCAUAACGUCGCAAGACCAAAGUGGGGGACCUUCGGGCCUCACACCAUCGGAUGUGUCCAGAUGAGAUUAGCUAGUAGGUGGGGUAAUGGCUCACCUAGGCGACGAUCCCUAGCUGGUCUGAGAGGAUGACCAGCGACACUGGAACUGAGACACGGUCCAGACUCCUACGUGAGGCAGCAGUGGGGAAUAUUGCACAAUGGGCGCAAGCCUGAUGCAGCCAUGCCGCGUGUAUGAAGAAGGCCUUCGGGUUGUAAAGUACUUUCAGCGGGGAGGAAGGCGGUGAAGUUAACAGCUUCACCGAUUGACGUUACCCGCAGAAGAAGCACCGGCUAACUCCGUGCCAGCCGCCGCCGUAA